CGAGCCUAUGGAGAAAUCCUGAAUUAGGGUAUCGAACCUACUCAAUUGAUCCGGAGUAAAUCUCAUUUAGAAGAAAAUAGAGUAAUACAAAAUAUCAACCAAGCUUCCAUUAUCAAUAAAUAUACGAUAUAUAGUAUAAUCAGUAAUAUUUGCAAUUACAACCACCGCAUCAUUGUGCAGGGCUUGCACACCCUCUGCGUCCUCC
Molecule: long non-coding RNA, 205 nt
Filed under: Elaeis guineensis (African oil palm)
Lineage: Eukaryota; Viridiplantae; Streptophyta; Magnoliopsida; Arecales; Arecaceae
Description: long non-coding RNA (EGUI_LNC005737)
Source: RNAcentral